RNAcentral lists this non-coding RNA (157 nucleotides) under Aquamicrobium zhengzhouense. Its description in RNAcentral is "Aquamicrobium sp. cd-1 6S RNA". It matches the Rfam family "6S / SsrS RNA". Rfam says of the family: E. coli 6S RNA was the first non coding RNA to be sequenced, but its function was unknown until recently. It consists of 184 nucleotides that fold into an extended hairpin structure with a large single-stranded internal bulge. The record is from RNAcentral. Lineage: Bacteria; Pseudomonadati; Pseudomonadota; Alphaproteobacteria; Hyphomicrobiales; Phyllobacteriaceae.
GACGAUCUGCGCUUCUCGACAGGAGCAACACUUCCCCGGGGCCUUACUGAUCCUUAGGGAGCUGUCCCUGUCCGGACCCGUGGGUCCGGGCACACGGCGCCCACCUACUUUGUAGGCCACCGGGAUCAACCGCGCCAUCGGUCGUCGCGGAUCGUCG